Monopterus albus (swamp eel) is the source of this 240-nucleotide long non-coding RNA. RefSeq lists it as uncharacterized. The record is from RefSeq and is a predicted model, not a curated record. Lineage: Eukaryota; Metazoa; Chordata; Actinopteri; Synbranchiformes; Synbranchidae. The transcript has 2 exons.
GCAUGUGUUUUCAGUCAGGGGUUCCUGCCUUCACAGUCAAGCAGCCAGAAGAUGCAAUGGCUGUGCUUAAGGACAGGUCCAAAGAGACAGGUUGUCCUCUUUGGGUGUGUCCAGACCUGGACGACUAUCAGGCAGACUGUGGACCUUUGCACCUGGGCCUGGCAGGGCAACACCAGCGCUCCAAUGCCUCCCUGGCCCUCCAGCUGAGUCACACUUGGCUGCAGAAAAGAUGUCUACCAG